This 240-nucleotide ribosomal RNA is filed under the name uncultured bacterium. RNAcentral's name for it is "partial 16S ribosomal RNA". It matches the Rfam family "Bacterial small subunit ribosomal RNA", at positions 94 to 334 of the family's 1533-position model. The record is from RNAcentral.
CCCGGCGCACGGUGAGUAACGCGUAUGCAACUUACCUAUCAGAGGGGGAUAACCCGGCGAAAGUCGGACUAAUACCGCAUGAAGCAGGGAUCCCGCAUGGGAAUAUUUGCUAAAGAUUCAUCGCUGAUAGAUAGGCAUGCGUUCCAUUAGGCAGUUGGCGGGGUAACGGCCCACCAAACCGACGAUGGAUAGGGGUUCUGAGAGGAAGGUCCCCCACAUUGGUACUGAGACACGGACCAA